AGCAGAGGGUGAUUACACUGCAGGGAGCUGCCAGCCCCGGCUGAACAAUAGGUGGAGGGAGGCCAGGUGUCUGUGAAGGGGGAUGGAUCACUCUGAGCACCCCCGUGCCCCUGCCUCAGUUCCUCGGACCUGUUUGCAAAAUGAAAAUGUUGGGCCAGGUUCUUCCUUAUGUUCCUUCCAGCUCCCGGAUUCUAAAUCUAAUGAGUUAAAAUGAGAAGUGGGAGACAAGGUUCUCAAACCUGGCUGCACCUCACAGUCACUUGCUGAGCUUCUAAAUGCAGAUGUUUGGGCUUCACUGGUCUAGACCAAGAGAAGUGGAAUUUCCUGGAGUAUGGGUGACCAGCAAGUGAACAAAUGGAAGCUUGUUCGCUCUGGGGGAAGCCAGCUGCCAUGUCAUGAGAAGGCUCAAGCAGCCUAUGAAGAUGUCCAUGUGAUAAAGAACUGAGGCCUCCUGCCAACAGCCAUGCAAGGAAGCCAUCUUGGAAGUAGAACUUCUAGCCCCCGUCAAGCCUCAGAUGUCUGCAGCCCCAGCUAACAUCAGAUUGCAACCUCAUGAGAGACCCUGAGCCAGAACCACCCAGCUCCGCCACUCCUGAUUCCUAACCCUUAGGGACUGGUAUCCUUAUAAGAGAAAGGAGAGAGAUUUGAGACAAAGAGACACAUGGAAAGCCAUGUGAAGACAGAAGCAGAGAUUGGAGUGAUACAUCUAUAAGCAAAGGAUUGCCAGAACCACAGAAGCUGGGAGAGAGGCACUUGAAGGGAUUCUCCCUCAGAACAUUUAGAAGGUCCAGCCUGGUCAACACCUUGAUUUUAAAUUUCUGAUCUCCAGAACUAUGGAAGAAUAAGUUUUUGUUGUUUUAAGCCCCCCCAGUUUGGGGUAAUUUAUUAUGGCAGCCACAGGAAAUAAAUAUACCUCCCUUCGGAGGCCCCUGGUUCAUCUCAACCCCAAAACUUGGCAGCAGAGUGAGACAGGGAAUUAUAAAAACCAUAUAGUUUACCAAGCACACUUUUAUCUCGCUUGGGUCUAACCACAACCUUGCGAUGUUACAUUGUUUCAUGGGUAAGGUGGUGUUAUCACUCCUUUUUUUUUUCAACAGCUAAGGAAAAGAGCCCAGAAAAUUUAAGCGAUUUGCCCAAGGUCUCUCACCUGGAUGGCAUAGAGCCCAGAAUUUGGGUCUCCACAUGCUAAAUCCUGACCUCUUUAGUACACAAGAGGAGGCUGGCAGGAGUACAAGGACACUUGUAAAGUCUCCCAGUUCACUGUCUAUAACUCCUCACUUUAAAAUGUAGGUACUCAGCAGGAUGGGAGGUGGAGGGAGCAGGAAGGUGAGAUCAAGCUUAACACCCUUCUGCCUAGCUCAGAAUCACAAUAGACCUUUGACAGCAUAUAAUAACUCCCAUAAACUACAGCAGUGAAGUCUAACUUAAACAUUUUAGUGGCCCCUUCAGAUCCUUAACAAUGCUAUAAAUGCAAUCCUGGUGUGAUUUAUAAAGCUAUUAAAAUAAAUACUUCCACUAAAAUAAACAUUGCUGCCUCUCAGCAUAUGUUUCCUUGCAAAACAGAAACACAAAUUUACCUGAAUUUGCAAAACCUUAAGCAAUGAUGAUAAAGGCAGAAUGGGCGCUGUACAGAAAUGAACUGACGUGCACGUGUCUUGACAGCAUCUUUCCCUAAGGAGAGGUGGUCUUUCAGCUUUGAAGCCUUCACCUUGCUUCUCAGUUUGGAGAAAUGCCUCCAUGGCCUGAGGCCCAGCUGAUGCCACUCCAUCCAUGAAUUUCACAUUAUGCACAGAAAAGCGCUCUUUAAAAUGCUCCCCCUAACCUUUCCAUAUGGUUCAGCUCACAUGGAGAAUCCAAUUGAGGUCUUUCCCAUUUCUCAUGUCUCAGAAAUGUCUGCAGGGCCUAGACCCCAGGAGGUUUUGGAGCAGGGGAAGGACAGGAUCAGAUUUGUUAAUCAUGUCUUUGAGCCAUGAGCUUUGGGGGCUCUAUCAAAGGAGGCAUGAAUUUAGUUCAUCUUCAACAUCAUAGCUCUUUGAUCUGCUACAUUUGUUCAUUAUGUGAGAGAGAACAUUUGAGAAGACAUUAAAUAGGUCUGAGACGAUGCCCAGGGGUCACAGGACUCAAUGAAAGAGCAACAGGAAAGAGUUUGCGCCUGUCCCUCUUAUUCCCCAUGACAUCCUUAGUGUCCACCUAGGGUGCCUGGCACACAAAGCAUGAUGGGAAUAAGUGUAGCAGAAAGGGAGACAGAGGGCAACAGGGAGGAAAUAAGAGGAAAAGAAAAGUUCUAAAUAAUCUAGGUCACGAGGGAACCCCACUUCAAAUCUUGGUUCCUCUACUAGCUGUGUGACUUUGGAAAAAAAAAUUGUUAAUUUCUCUAAAUCUCCAUUUCUUCAGUUUGAAUUGAGGAUAAUAAUAUAGUCAUAUUAUUAUGAGUCUUACACAAUAUAACUCAUAUAAAAAUAUCUAGAUCAGUGCCUGACACAGAUUAGGUGCUCCAUUCCCUAAAUGUUUAUUGAAUUGCUGAAUGAAAGAAAGAAGGAAUGGAAGAAGGGAGGGAGAGAGGGAGGGAAGGAGGGAGCUAAGGGAGAGAGGAGAAGGGAAGGGAAGGAAGACUGUUUCCAACUGAGAUGGCCCUGGAGCUUGGGCACAUUGAAUGUGGUGCACGGGGCCAAGCUGAUCUCUUCCCGAGGCGUGUCAGUGGAGUGCUGCCUGCCUCUUUAUUUACAUGCCAGGUUUUCAUCAUUUACCAUCCACACUUAGGGGAUUAAUUCCCUGAAAAGUGUAGCCAGCUAGUCAAACAACACAGAAAACAGCAGCUAAGGUUGUAAUUCCUAUCCCAUCGACAGCCCUUCCACAAAAAGAGGAAGAACGGGAACAGCUGAAAACUUCCAUUCAAGUCAGUAACAGUAAGUUACAAGUGACUGUGUGUCUAGAGGGCAAGUGAGAGAUGGGCAGGAGGGGGGUGCGGAGCCAGCUCCCUCUCUUUGUGCCAGCUGUGGCACAGAGAGACCCAUCAGGCUGUGCACCAAGAACCUGCUCGGAUUUUAGGCAAAUGAUUUAAAGUGUCCAAUUUAGAAAACAUAAGUUGAAGAGCUUAUUUUUUUUCUUUCUUUUGCACCCAAUACCUUUGGAACCUUUAAAGUUGUAUUACUUGAAAUAUAAAAUGUUUCAUCUGCUGUGGAAAACAGUUUGGUGGUUCCUCAAAAAGUUAAACACAGAAUUACCAUA
Hipposideros armiger (great roundleaf bat) is the source of this 3228-nucleotide long non-coding RNA. RefSeq lists it as uncharacterized. The transcript is spliced from 3 exons. NCBI's taxonomy places the organism in Eukaryota, Metazoa, Chordata, Mammalia, Chiroptera, Hipposideridae. The record is from RefSeq and is a predicted model, not a curated record.